This 344-nucleotide long non-coding RNA is filed under the name Mytilus galloprovincialis (Mediterranean mussel). The record is from RNAcentral. Lineage: Eukaryota; Metazoa; Mollusca; Bivalvia; Mytilida; Mytilidae.
GUCUGACAGACAUGAGAACCUUGCAAGGUACACACAUAUCAAAUAUAGUUAUCCUAUUACUUAUAAUAAGAGAGAAUUCAACAUUACAAAAAAUUUGAACUUUUUUUUCAAGUGGUCACUGAACCAUGAAAAUGAGGUCAAGGACAUUGGACAUGUGACUGACGGAAACUUCGUAACAUGAAGCAUCUAUAUACAAAGUAUGAAGCAUCCAGGUCUUCCACCUUCUAAAAUAUAAAGCUUUUAAGAAGUGAGCUAACACCGCCGCCGUAGCCGCCGCCGCCGCCGGAUCACUAUCCCUAUGUCGAGCUUUCUGCAACAAAAGUUGCAGGCUCGACAAAAAUACU